RNAcentral lists this ribosomal RNA (426 nucleotides) under uncultured bacterium. RNAcentral's name for it is "bacterial SSU rRNA". It matches the Rfam family "Bacterial small subunit ribosomal RNA", at positions 355 to 787 of the family's 1533-position model. The record is from RNAcentral.
UGGGGAAUAUUGCACAAUGGGGGAAACCCUGAUGCAGCGACGCCGCGUGAAGGAUGAAGUAUUUUCGGGUAUGUAAACUUCUAUCAGCAGGGAAGAAAAAUGACGGUACCUGACUAAGAAGCCCCGGCUAACUACGUGCCAGCAGCCGCGGUAAUACGUAGGGGGCAAGCGUUAUCCGGAUUUACUGGGUGUAAAGGGAGCGUAGACGGCAUGGCAAGUCUGAAGUGAAAAGCCCCGGGGCUCAAACCCCGGGACUGCUUUUGGGAAAACUGUCAGGCUAGAGUGCUGGAGAGGUAAGUGGAAAUUCCUAGUGUAGCGGUGAAAUGCGUAGAUAUUAGGAGGAACACCAGUGGCGAAGGCGGCUUACUGGACAGUGACUGACGUUGAGGCUCGAAAGCGUGGGGAGCAAAACAGGAUUAGAUACCC